RNAcentral lists this ribosomal RNA (649 nucleotides) under uncultured bacterium. RNAcentral's name for it is "bacterial SSU rRNA". It matches the Rfam family "Bacterial small subunit ribosomal RNA", at positions 43 to 738 of the family's 1533-position model. The record is from RNAcentral.
CAGGCCUAACACAUGCAAGUCGAACGGACCCUUCGGGGUUAGUGGCGGACGGGUGAGUAACACGUGGGAACGUGCCUUUAGGUUCGGAAUAGCUCCUGGAAACGGGUGGUAAUGCCGAAUGUGCCCUUCGGGGGAAAGAUUUAUCGCCUUUAGAGCGGCCCGCGUCUGAUUAGCUAGUUGGUGAGGUAACGGCUCACCAAGGCGACGAUCAGUAGCUGGUCUGAGAGGAUGACCAGCCACACUGGGACUGAGACACGGCCCAGACUCCUACGGGAGGCAGCAGUGGGGAAUCUUGCGCAAUGGGCGAAAGCCUGACGCAGCCAUGCCGCGUGAAUGAUGAAGGUCUUAGGAUUGUAAAAUUCUUUCACCGGGGACGAUAAUGACGGUACCCGGAGAAGAAGCCCCGGCUAACUUCGUGCCAGCAGCCGCGGUAAUACGAAGGGGGCUAGCGUUGCUCGGAAUUACUGGGCGUAAAGGGCGCGUAGGCGGAUCGUUAAGUCAGAGGUGAAAUCCCAGGGCUCAACCCUGGAACUGCCUUUGAUACUGGCGAUCUUGAGUAUGAGAGAGGUAUGUGGAACUCCGAGUGUAGAGGUGAAAUUCGUAGAUAUUCGGAAGAACACCAGUGGCGAAGGCGACAUACUGGCUCAUU